AUCCGAUCUGUAGAUACAUGCAUUUAAAAAGUUCAGGUUCUCGAUGUGAUGACACGCAAAACCCUCACACGGACAGCCCCAUUCAAGGAGGAAAUCAAAAAACUGAAAUGCCCCGUUUGGAUCGGUCGCAUACAAAUUUGAUUUAGAAACCGUUUGAGAAUAACUCCAUCCCCAUUGCCACUACCAGAAAAUAUGACUUCUGUCAUUUGAUCCUGUGACACACAACGCGACACAAGUUGGGAUGGAUCCAUUCAUCCAUCCAUUUUUUUUUUUCUCAGCCGCUUAUACUCACGCGGGUCGCGGGAGCCCCGGAGCCAUUCCCGGAUGUCAUCGGGCAGGAGGCGGGGCACACCCUGAACUGGUCGCCAGCCAAUCGCAGGGCACGUGGAGAGAGACAACAGUCACACUCACAAUCACACCGACGGGGCAAUUUCAGGUCUUCAGUUAACCUACCAUACAUGUUUUUGGGAUGCGGGAGGAAACCGGAGUGCCCACGCAGAGAAAACCCACGUAGGCAUGAGGAGAGCAGGGAAACUCCACGCAGGGGAAGCCGGGAUUUGAACCUCGGUCUUCAGAACCGUGAGGCCAACGCUCUAUACGGCUGCGACACCGUACCGCCAGAAGUUGGACGGAUGGGUUUGUAAUUUUUUCACAAUUAAAAAGUAUGUUUAGAAUUACAUGUACUAAAUAUAAUAAUUUAGCACCCAAAAAUUCAAAUGUUUUCUUAUUUUUAUUAUUUUGUUGUUUUAUUCUUGAAGGAUUUGGAUUUUAUCUGGGGUUCAAAUCCCUGCCACCCCUGUGUGGAGCUUGCAUGUCCGGGUGGCUUUUGUCCGGGCAUUCCGGUUUCCCUCCCACAUCCCAAAAAUAUGCAACAUUAAUUGGCCAUUAGAAGCGUGAUUGUGAGUGCGACUGUUGUCUGUCUCCACGUAACCUGCGACUGGCUGGCGACCAGUCCAGGGUGUGCCCCGCCUCCUGCCCGACGACAACUGGGAUUGGCUCCAGCACUCCCGCCGCCCUCGUGAGGAUAAGCGGAUCAGAAAAUGAAUGGCAGUCCUUCGAUUUUCACAUUUACAGCCUAGUUUGCAAAGAUGCAAUGAUUUUGACAUCUUACAGGAAGUGUGGCUGGGGGGAACGUACGGUAAUCCACCAAAUGUUAUUUUUGUGAGUCGGAGAAUCCGUUCGUCAUCCUAUUUUUUUUUUUCUCUCUUUCGACGUCAUCACAGCGAGGGCGGAGCAAGAGGAGGAAGUGAGAGAAGGCGGAGGAGGUCCGAGGAAGGAGAGAAACUCCAGUGAAUGAAGCCAAACCUCCAAGCGGGACGCGAGAGGUGCGGGUCAGAGCAAAAAAAAAAACAACAACAACAACAACAAACAAACAAAAAAAGUGUCUCUUUCUUUCUGGUGAGCCUCACGUCGGGGAAGGCAACCUUGGGGCGGUUGACUUUCUGCUUUUUGGCUUCAGUUCAGCAGGUGUGAGUUCCUGAACGCACCAUGGCGGAGGGAAGCUGCUUCGGCGCCCCGGAACUGAAGAAAUAAUACAGGCGAAGCGGGGAAACUAUUUUCUGAAUCAAAAACAACCUCAUUCCGCAAAAAGUUGCAAGUUGAAAAAGUUUGAUUGCAAGAGCGCCGCAAGCAUGUGCCACGCGAUCGUCACUUGCCGCUCGAUGCUGUGGACCCUGCUGAGCAUCCUGGUGGCCUUCGCCGAGCUCAUCGCCUUCAUGAGCCCCGACUGGCUGCUGGGUUUCCCCCGCAACGAUUCCGACUCCGGGGGGUUCCGGCCCUCCCUGGGGCUCUACAGCCGCUGCCUCCGCCUCGGCGCCCGGGGAGGGGGCGUGAGCUGCGGGCCCUACGCCGGGACCUUCGGCGAGGUGGCCAGCGGCUUCUGGCGGGCGGCCAUGUUGUUCUUGGCGGCGGGGAUUUUGGUGCUGGGAGUGGUGGCCUGCCUCUCCGUCUUCAGCGUGUGCUUCCAGAGCAUCCUGAGGAAAAGCAUCUUCAACAUCUGCGGUCUCAUGCAGGCCGCCGCAGGCCUCCUGCUCCUCGUGGGCCUCAUGCUGUACCCCGCCGGUUGGGGUUCCGAGAAGGUGCUGAGCUACUGCGGCGCGGAGGCCUCCCCCUUCAGGCCGGCCCUGUGCUCCCUCGGCUGGGCGUUCUACGCGGCCGUCGGGGGAACCCUGGCCGCCUUCCUGUGCGCCGUUUUGUCCGCGCAGGCCGAGAUCGCCACUUCCGGCGACAAAGUGCAGGAGGAGAUAGACGAAGGCAAGAGUCUAAUCUGCGUGUUGUGACGCCGGCGCUCCAUCCUGAAUGGAAGCUGCGCGGACUUUUGUGGUGAGAAAAAGCUGAAGCUUUUUUUUUUUUUUUUUUUUUUUUUUUUGUACAGAUGUUUUGCAAGCUUGCUAAGUCCUGGUUAAUUCUACAAAAAGGCUUUUUGCGCAAAGCGCAGACCACUGAUUCAGACCCGCGGAAUCUAAUAUAGUCCACGACCGCUUUCAAGAUAACAUUUCAAAAUUGAAAGGCUACGAUGGUAGAUCCCCCAAAAUGUAUUCCAUAAUUUCCUGUAUCGUCACUGUCCAAAAAAAGGCUCCAAUUAGUUCCGUCCCUCCCCCCAUAAAAACACGAAUAUCAUGACACCAAAUGUGAAGACAAAGCGAAACUGUGACACGUGCAUGCAAAUGAUCAAGUUCAGUUUUGGAGUGACACUUUUAUCACACCGUAUUGUUGUUCUUCCGUUUACAGUGAAACAUAAAAAAAUGUAGUUUGUAAAGAGCUCUUGUCGAGAUUUUCUUUUUUUUUUUUCCUCCUCCCAUGUUUGAAAAGACCACUGAACAGCACAAUGUGACGUCAUUGUAGAUGUCUUCCCCCCCCCCCCCCCCAACGAAUAAUGUCAAGUCCCAUGAAUGUGCGCCUCUUUUGUUAGACGAUUGUACAAAUAUUUCUAUUGCAGAAAUUCGUUUCCAUGAUGCUGGCUCGUAGUGUUGUAGUUCAUGCUGCCUCCGAGCUCGGGAUGACAGAGCAACGUUUGCGUCCUGCCGUGACGGAACGCGACUGGCGAGCCAUGAAGGUCUAAACAGCUGGCAACAAAAGAAAGUCGACCACGAGGUGAAAACAUCCAAAAAGGUCUCAGUAUUUCAUCUUCCAUGCUGAAGAUGAAAACACAUCAAGCGUGAGGUUGUGCCACCUAGUGGGGAAGAUUGCGAAUUACAGCCCACCUCAUCAAUUCGUUCCUGUUUCGAUAGCUUGUGACCUCAUUUGACCUGCAGGUAAGCCCAUAAAACACUGAAGCCCUCCUCGUGUUCAUAAUGUCUAGACUAUCCCCCAAUCCAAAAAUAAAAAAACAUACGCGAUAGUUAAGAACGAAGUUGAAAUAAGACAUACAGUAUGUCAUGUUUUUUCUUCUCACGAUACAAUUGUGGAAGCUCGUGGCUGGAACACGUGAACUUCAUUUGGGUUUUAUCAGCGCCAGCGGCUGCGUGCUGACUCCUAUUGAACGUGACUAGUUAU
RNA transcript from Syngnathoides biaculeatus (alligator pipefish), 3495 nucleotides. It is a transcript of the gene named LHFPL tetraspan subfamily member 2a protein-like, with no coding region annotated. The record is from RefSeq and is a predicted model, not a curated record. The transcript has 4 exons. NCBI's taxonomy places the organism in Eukaryota, Metazoa, Chordata, Actinopteri, Syngnathiformes, Syngnathidae.